GGGGGGGGAGAGGGGAGCUCGGCUUGGUUCAUGGUGCGAGGGCGCGGGUGCGAGGAUUCGGGGUCUGGGUUCGAGGAUUCGUGCGCCGGGUUCGAGGAUUUGAAGGUUUCUGGUUCUGGGUUCGAGGAUUCGAAGGAUUCUGGUUCUGGGUUCAAGGAUUCUGGUUCUGGGUUCGAGGAUUCAGAGUUGCCUGGGUUCUGGGUUCGAGGGUUUGGAGAGUUCUGGGUUCGAGGAGACGAAGGAUUCUGGUUCUGGGUUCGAGGAGACGAAGGAUUCUGGCGCCGGGUUCGAGGAUUAGUGCGCCGGGUGCGAGGAUUCUGGGUCUGGGUUCGAGGAGACGAAGGAUUCUGGCGCCGGGUUCAAGGAUUAGUGCGCCGGGUUCGAGGAUUUGAAGGUUUUUGGUUCUGGGUUCGAGGAUACGAAGGAUUCUGGCUCUGGGUUCGAGGAUUCAAAGGAUUCUGGUUCUGGGUUCGAGGAGACGAAGGAUUCUGGCUCUGGGUUCGAGGAUUAGUGCGCCGGGUUCAAGGAUUUGAAGGUUUCUGGUUCUGGGUUCGAGGAGACGAAGGAUUCCGGCUCUGGGUUCGAGGAUACGAAGGAUUCUGGCUCUGAGUUCGAAGAUCAGUGCGCCGGGUUCGAGGAUUCGAAGCCUUCUGGGUUCUGGCGCUGGGUUCGAGGAUUCGAAGGAUUCUGGCUCUGGGUUCGAGGAGACGAAGGAUUCCGGCUCUGGGUUCGAGGAGACGAAGGAUUCUGGCUCUGGGUUCGAGGAUCCGUGCGCCGGGUUCGAGGAUUCGGAGCCUUCUGGGUUCUGGCGCCGGGUGCGAGGAUGCUGCGUCUGGGUUCGAGGAGACGAAGGAUUCUGGGUUCUGGGUUCAAGGAUUAGUGCGCCGGGUUCGAGGAUUUGGAGAAUUCUGGUGCCGGGUUCGAGGAUUCGAUGGUUUCUGGUUCUGGGUUUGAGGAUUCGAAGCCUUCUGGGUUCUGGCGCCGGGUGCGAGGAAUUAAAGGUUUCUGGGUUCAAGGAUACGAAGGAUUCCGGCUCUGGGUUCGAGGAUUUGGAGAAUUCUGGAUUAGUGUGCCGGGUUCGAGGAUUCGAAGGAUUCUGGUUCUGGGUUCGAGGAUUUGGAGGAUUCUGGAUUAGUGCGCCGGGUUUGAGGAUUCGAAGCUUUCUGGUUCUGGGUUCGAGGAUUCGAAAGAUUCUGGCUCUGGGUUCGAGGAUUUGGUGAAUUCUGGAUUAGUGCGCCGGGUUCGAGGAUUCGAAGCCUUCUGGGUUCUGGCGCCGGGUUCGAGGAUUUGAAGGUUUCUGGUUCUGGGUUGGAGGAUUUGAAGGUUUCUGGUUCUGGGUUCGAGGAUUCAGAGCCGCCUGGGUUCUGGCUCUGGGUUCGAGGGUUUGGGUUAGGGACCUCAGAGAUGGAGUGAGGAGGUUAAGGACCCGCCAGCCAAUGGGGUGAGGAGGUUAAGGACCCCCCAAGGGUCUAAGUUGAGGGUUCAAGGAAUCGAAGGAUUCUGGGUUCUGGCGCCGGGUUCGAGGGUUUGGGUUAGGGACCUCAGAGAUGGAGUGAGGAGGUUAAGGACCCGCCAGCCAAUGGGAUAAAGAGGUUAGGGAGCUGCCAGCCAAUGGGGUGAGGAGGUUAAGGACCCCCAAGGGGGAGUUAAGGCCGAGGUUAGAGCCCCUUCUGGGGGGUGCUAGCCCAGCCCGGGUUCAAGAGGAGGGGUUAAGGACCUCCCCCAAGGGGUUAAGGAGGCUCUGAAGGGGAGGGUUAAAGACCCCAC
Non-coding RNA from Podarcis lilfordi (Lilford's wall lizard), 1767 nucleotides. NCBI's taxonomy places the organism in Eukaryota, Metazoa, Chordata, Lepidosauria, Squamata, Lacertidae. The record is from the annotation of a GenBank genome assembly.